Molecule: ribosomal RNA, 808 nt
Filed under: uncultured cyanobacterium
Lineage: Bacteria; Bacillati; Cyanobacteriota
Description: bacterial SSU rRNA
Rfam family: Bacterial small subunit ribosomal RNA
Source: RNAcentral
CGCUGGCGGCGUGCUUAACACAUGCAAGUCGAACGAACCUUCGGGUUAGUGGCGGACGGGUGAGUAACGCGUGGGAAUCUGCCCUCAGGAGGGGGAUAACGGCUGGAAACGGCCGCUAAUACCCCAUAUGCCGAGAGGUGAAAUGAAUUUCGCCUGAGGAUGAGCCCGCGUCUGAUUAGCUUGUUGGUGAGGUAAUGGCUCACCAAGGCUUCGAUCAGUAGCUGGUCUGAGAGGAUGAUCAGCCACACUGGGACUGAGACACGGCCCAGACUCCUACGGGAGGCAGCAGUGGGGAAUUUUCCGCAAUGGGCGAAAGCCUGACGGAGCAACGCCGCGUGAGGGAUGAAGGCCUCUGGGCUGUAAACCUCUUUUCUCAAGGAAGAAGAUAUGACGGUACUUGAGGAAUAAGCCACGGCUAAUUCCGUGCCAGCAGCCGCGGUAAUACGGGAGUGGCAAGCGUUAUCCGGAAUUAUUGGGCGUAAAGCGUCCGCAGGCGGCCUUUCAAGUCUGCUGUUAAAACGUGGAGCUUAACUCCAUCAUGGCAGUGGAAACUGUUGGGCUUGAGUGUGGUAGGGGCAGAGGGAAUUCCCGGUGUAGCGGUGAAAUGCGUAGAUAUCGGGAAGAACACCAGUGGCGAAGGCGCUCUGCUGGGCCAUAACUGACGCUCAUGGACGAAAGCCAGGGGAGCGAAAGGGAUUAGAUACCCCUGUAGUCCUGGCCGUAAACGAUGAACACUAGGUGUCGGGGGAAUCGACCCCCUCGGUGUCGUAGCCAACGCGUUAAGUGUUCCGCCUGGGGAGUACGCACG